Molecule: non-coding RNA, 66 nt
Filed under: Candidatus Firestoneibacteriota
Lineage: Bacteria
Description: Candidatus Firestonebacteria c-di-GMP sequence
Rfam family: c-di-GMP-I riboswitch aptamer
About the family: GEMM was predicted in a large-scale screen for bacterial structured RNA regulatory elements. Genes associated with GEMM are involved in a diverse array of functions, including chemotaxis regulation, signal transduction, secretion and chitin.
Source: RNAcentral
UAUCCGAAAGGGCAAAUCUUGAGUAAUCAAGAGACGCAAAGUUCCAGUCCGGCAUAUGCUUCAAAA